CCGUUAGGUCAAAUGUCAUAAAUUCAGUUUCCUAGCCAUUGUCGCCCUUAGUGAGGCCUCUGUUAUUAGGUAUCCAGGCUUCUUUUGAAGCCAUAAUUAGGAUCCAGUACCUCGGGUGGCGCAAUGGGUAGAGUUAUGCUGUUAUUGAUGACCAGCCUGUGCGUACUCGCCAUGACAACAGACGUUCAAGGUCAACGAGGCACGCCUCAACCUCUGGCCCCUCCUCCACCGCGGCCAUUUUACCAGCGUUCCAACAACUUCUUUGAACCCUGGAUGAUGAUGGACUUUAUGAAUGGUGGAGAACUUUUUUCAUUUCGCCGGCGUUGAUGAUGUUUACUACGACGGAAACUGUAUCAAGCAUCCCCUAAUUUGACUAAACACCUGAGAACAAAUACUGGUCUUUCUUGAUGGUGGUACAGUCUUGUACUUUGUACUUUUAAUAAUAAAGUUGCGAACGGA
Haliotis rufescens (red abalone) is the source of this 459-nucleotide long non-coding RNA. RefSeq lists it as uncharacterized. NCBI's taxonomy places the organism in Eukaryota, Metazoa, Mollusca, Gastropoda, Lepetellida, Haliotidae. The transcript has 3 exons. The record is from RefSeq and is a predicted model, not a curated record.